This 8842-nucleotide long non-coding RNA is filed under the name Gossypium barbadense (sea-island cotton). RNAcentral describes it as "long non-coding RNA (GBAR_LNC013815)". Lineage: Eukaryota; Viridiplantae; Streptophyta; Magnoliopsida; Malvales; Malvaceae. The record is from RNAcentral.
AUUGAUCAAUGGCCAAGGAUGUUGAGGUUGGUGGUGAGUUCCAACCCAAGGACUACCAUGAUCCUCCACCAGCUCCAUUUGUAGAUGCCUAAGAGUUAACUCAGUGGUCUUUUUAUAGGGCUAUAAUAGCUGAGUUCAUUGCCACCCUUUUGUUUUUAUACAUCACUGUGUUAACAGUGAUUGGAUACAAGAGCCAAGUUGAUCCAGAUAAGGGUGGUCAAGAUUGUGAUGGUGUUGGCAUUCUUGGUAUUGCUUGGGCCUUUGGUGGCAUGAUUUUCAUCCUUGUUUACUGCACUGCUGGUGUCUCAGGUAAUAAUAUCUUAUACACACUCCUUGUUGAACGAUAUGGUUAAAACUUAAAAGGGUGUUUUCUUAGCAUGUUUGUUUGAUGAUAUGUAGGGGGACAUAUCAACCCAGCAGUGACCUUUGGGCUUUUCUUGGCUCGUAAGGUAUCAUUGGUUCGAGCCAUACUUUAUAUGGCUGCUCAAUGUUUAGGAGCCAUUUGUGGGUGUGGGUUAGUCAAGGCAUUCCAAAAGAGUUAUUACAACAAGUAUGGUGGAGGAGCUAAUAGCUUGGCUGAUGGAUACAGCACUGGCACUGGUUUGGCUGCUGAAAUUAUUGGCACAUUUGUGCUUGUUUACACUGUAUUCUCUGCAACUGAUCCCAAAAGAAACGCAAGAGAUUCUCAUGUUCCUGUAUGUCUCUUAAUUCAAUCCAACACCACACACAAGUUCAUUGACAAGUAUGUUUUUAGGGACUAAUUUUUUCUACAUUUUGAAGGUGUUGGCACCACUUCCCAUUGGGUUUGCUGUGUUUAUGGUUCAUUUGGCAACUAUUCCGAUCACCGGAACCGGAGUCAACCCUGCUCGUAGUUUCGGAGCUGUUGUUAUGUUCAACCAGGACAAGCCAUGGGAUGAUCAUGUAUGAACCAUCAUUUAUACAAUUGAUUUUCUAUUGUUUUCCUUUGUUUAAUACGGCUCCUAUUAAACAUAUUUUUAUAUCUGUUUGGAGUAUUGCAGUGGGUAUUCUGGGUUGGACCAUUCAUUGGAGCUGCCAUUGCUGCAAUUUAUCACCAGUAUAUCCUCAGAGCAGGAGCUGCUAAAGCUCUUGGAUCCUUCAGAAGCAGCUCAGCCAUGUAAAACAAAGGGGUUGCCAUUGAAGAAUGGAUCAAGUUUUAUCUAUGACUGUGAAGAGAAUUUUUCAGAGCAUUGAAUUUGUAAAUCAUAAUGGAAAUGUGACAUGCUUCUUUGUAUUUGGCACUUCAAUUUUUAAAGUGCCCCUAGUGUUGUCAUCAUCCCUGUUUUUCUUUCUGUUUUUGGCUUCGUCUUGGUGUCUGUAUGUUGAAAAUUUAAUAGAAUCUAAGCCUUUUUACUUUGCUUUAAAUGAUUUGAGUGUUAAUUCAGCUGAUGUGAACUUUAUUUUUUACAAAAGAAGUAAUAAAACAAAGAUAAAUCAGAUAAAGGCAAAUCUUCUUCAACUUAAUCAUGGUGUAAUAUCUAAAGCACUCUCUCUAGUGGCUGCAUGUAAAUAUAAUCUCACAAAUUUUGAGAAUGCCAAUUUUACCAAUCUUCUCAAUUUUAUCAAUUCAUCUGUAAUUUUAUUCUCUUCUUUGAACACAUGUCUAAGGCAGACCACCCAUAAACGUUAGAGAAGGUCCUUGACGGUACACCUCACGGCUGAAAAAUACUGUUCAUUUUCAUUUACUUGUCUCACUUCGAUAGUUUCAGUACUAUCUUUCUCGAAUAUCACCCUCUCUAAGCCUAAACUUAUACUAGUUGGAGCUCCUUAAGAGCACCUCAAAGUUCCAUUAAAACCACAUAACAACGACCCGAACUCCCUUAUGAUCCCGUAUUUAACCUCCUGCUACAGCAAUCCCAAACAAUUGACAAGCUGAUGUGUACUUUAUUAAUCAAGAAACUAGAGACAAUAGUGGUUGCUUAUUCAGUAUAGUGAUCAAACCACAAAAGCUACAUAACUUCUUCCGAACAUUGCCGGAUGCUGAAAACGAUAACUAGUAGACGACCAGUGAUAUGCGGCGGCUGUGUGGGGGACUAAAUACAACGUGGCAUUACAACAGUGGUUGAGCUAAUCAGUGCCGGUGAUGGUCGGUGUGACCGCAGCGGAAAUUGGCAGUGAUGGGUGUUGAAAUUUACACUGAUUAGUGGGUUCAAACUUUUUAGCCACGCCUACACCUCUCUAUAGGCCAGCUUGUUGAGCGGUCAAUUCAACCGAAUUUUUCAUUCAACUCAAUUGAUUUAUACCAUUCAUCAUUCAACUGAUUUUUUCUAAAUUAUUGUACUAAUAAAUUUUCGGUUUAAUUAACUUAACCAACAAUUUUAAUCUGAUUCCGAAAAAAUUGGAUUUGGUCUAUUUAUGAGUAUGAAUUUAAAUAUUGUUGAAUUUUUUAUUCGAAUAUUGUUGUUUUAAAUAAUUUUUAGAUUUAAAUAUUUUAAUUAAUAUCCAUUUUACUUUUUUGAAUAGAUUCUGGUUCUAAUCUUGAUAUUUAUUUUUUUUUCAAAUUAAUAUCGAUUAUAAUUUUAAUUUGAAUAAUAAUACUCAUAUUAAAUAUAAAUAAUAAGUAAACUUACAAAUAUAAAAUUAAAGUUUACAACAAAAUAUAAAUAUUCAACUCGACAUAAUCCAUAUACAAAGAAUUAGAUUAUCGCAUACCCAUAAUUUAGAUGAAAAAAUUAUUUAAUACAUUGGUAAAAAUAUUUUUCUAGUCUCUCUCUCGUAUAUUGAGUAAAUUAGUUUUUCUAAAAAAAUUAAAGUAAUUUAAUCCCUAUCAAUUUUGAAAGUGAGCAACUAAAAACAAUUAAUCACAUUAAUGUUUUUUUUGUCAAUUGUACAUAUUUUUAUUGGCAUAAUAACAAAUUUAGCCCACAAUAUUUACACAUUCUAUAAAUUUGGUCCUAAUUUAACAAAUUUAACCUGCAACAUUUGCACAUAAUAUAUAAGUAUUGAAGGCUAAAUUUGUUAUCAUACAAAUCAAAAUUACGCACAAAUUGACAGAAAAUAUUAACGUCAUAAUUAAUUAUCCUUAGUCGCUCACUUUUGAAAUUAAUAGGGAUUAAAUUACUUCAAUUUUUCUAGAGUGACCAAUUUACUCAAUAUCAAAUUUGAGAGGGAUUGGAGAGGAAAUUUUACCAAAAAAUAAAACAAAUGUUAAGCUUUACAAAUACUUUUUAUCUUACUUCUGCCCAUAAUUCUUCUUCACCCUUAAAUCGAAGAAAAAAUGCAUUUAAGCGCGCUCAAAUCUACAUCCGUUUAAAUAUUGUAAUAGCAAUUAUACCAACUGAAUUAAAACUCAACCAACUAAACUUUGAAACAACAAAAUGAUAAUAAAUUAAGAUCACUUUAUAUUUUACUCGCUAAUACUUCUUGCCAACUAUGUUCUUGUGUCACGGGGCUAGAUCUUUUGUCUCGCGGUCUGUGCGGCCAUAGGUGAUCCAUUCGUUCCAAACUCGCCUAAGUUAGCCUUUACUCCCAAAAGUGAGGAUUCCUUUAGAAUUCCUCUAAGGCACCAAUUUGUGUAGCAGAAGCAAUUGUGCCAAAAGAAGCUACAAAAGAACAACAGAAAGUCACAAAAAGAACACACACAAAGUGUUUGAGUAAAUGCUCAAAGAAUUCUAUUACUCUUAAGAAUUCAACUUACAAUGGAUGAGAUACAAAUGAGGGGGAAGCUCUCUAUUUACAGUUGAGCUACUCCAAAAUCGACGGUCAAGAUCAAAUUACAUUGACGAACAAGAUUAGUCUAUCCCUUGAUUUUAGGGAUUUACAAGAUUACAUCAUCUCAAAUCAAAUCUACAUUAUAUGAUUCCCAUAUUUACUAAAAAUAGCCUAUGUUGUCAUAUCUUCAUUAUCGGGCCAACCAGACUUCAAUUUAACAGGCUUCUCUAACAGUUCUUGGAAUCGAGUCAGUUCUCGUGGGCUAAAUGAUCCACAUCUAAUCGAUAGACCUCCAUGGGGCGCAUCCUUUGCCAUGGUCACAAGCUUUACACUUUGGCCAUUGACAUUCUCCCCCACCCAUUGCGACUUAUGAAUGACACUGACUUGAUUCACCUUGGAACUCUCUCGUUGCCCUAGCUUCUUCCCGACUUGUCUUGCGAUCGGGUUGUCCCUUCCUUCGAAACCUUUGCUUUGACUUCCGUCACCUCUUAACUUGAACCGCUGCACUCGUUGGUACAUCUCGUUGGCAAGAAAUCUCUGCUCUAACUUGCCCUAAUUUUGACUUGUUCCAAUUGGAAUCCAUUUGAUUCUUGCAUCUUAGCUUCAUACCGCCCAUAGUCCCUCGGCCUCCUUGCUUAAUAACUUUGAAAAGGCCCUUACGACCUUGCCAAGCCAACAAGUCAGAAUUUAAAACACUAUCAGAGUGUUUGUAAUGUACCUUACUCGCGGCAUUUACUCGUUUCGACUGCUUUUGCAUUGCUUCUUUCCCCUUGAAGUCCGAUACACAACCCACAUUUUCUAAAGGUGGCGACUCCACAAUCGACUUCACAGGCCUCAUAUCGGUCUCAUGCUCCACUAACUUUUUCAAAAGGGCUUUCAUAGCAUUCCUUUUUAUCGAGUUAAUGUUCUUCUCAUACGAAACAUCUUAGGCUAGUUGAAUUGAUGACACCACCUUGGUCCCAACCUUCAUAUCUGAUACACCGGUACAAAAUUUUUGAUAACGGAUCGGUGACAAUAUGAAUUUGAUCGGCUCAUGGAUACAGAACUGCCUGAAUCCUGUCAAGGAAAUUUAAGUCAAGCAUAUAAUCAUAAUCAUCUAAGUGGAUUACCUCAAAUUCUUCAUUGUCUUUCCAUUCGCCGAUUUGUAGCUCCACAUUUCGAACUACUCCCACAGUUGGGGCCCUCUUGAAAUUUACCAUCUUGAUCUUCUUAUUCGAUUUUCUAAUCGAGAGACCAAGUUUCUUCGUAGCCUUUUUCGAUAUGAACAAGUCUGAUACUCCCGUAUCAAUAAGAGCACUCCGUUUCAAACUCUCAAUGUUGAUGUCCACAAACAUCAACCCUUCUUCACCAUCCCUGUUCUUACAAAAGAGCACCAUCGAAUUGACCAUUGAUGUCUUUUCCUCAAUUGGCUUCACUUCCUUCAGCUCAUCUUUCUUUUCGAUAGCUGAAAUCAUCAAUUUCUUCAGACAUUUUCGCGUCAUGUGUGGUCAAUGACAAGGGAAGCAUUUUAUCCUCUUCCUCUUAUCCCUUGAGUUUUUGGAUCCCCACUUCGCAUCUCGUGGUUUCCCAUUGUUACUUGUGCUAUCGAUACUAUUGCCAUCAUUGUUGUGUCCCUCUUCAUCUCCCUCAUGAUUUCUCUCACCAUUGCCCUUUCCAUUGGGCUUAGACGACUCAAACUUGUCUUUCGUUGGACCAAGCUCAACAAAGGAUUCUGCUUCAGCCAUGGUUACAGUAAGUUUGGUGAUUCCUUGCCUAUGCAACUCAUGUUUUUCCCACGGCUUUAACCUAUCUUCGAACCAAUAGAAUGCUUCUUUAUAGCUCAAGUUAGAGAUUUGAAGCAUCAGCUCACUAAAUGCACGAAUAUGCUCCCGAACAGUGCCUUUUUGCAUAAGAUGACACAACUUAGCUCGAGCCUCCUUCUCGGCAUACUGUGAGUAAAAUUUCUUCUUCAACUCUCUUUGGAACUCCUCCCAAGUUUCAAUUGCUUACCCACCACGUUUCUCAUCCGUGGACCUACGAUGCCACCACAAGAGAGCAACAUUAGUAAAAUAGGAAGCAGUGUUUACCUUAAUGGCAUCAUCCUCGAUGCCCAUCGCUCGAAAGUAUUACUCCAUUUCACAUAAGAAGUUGUCUACAUCCAAUGCGGACCUUGCACUCUUGAACUUCUCUGGUUUGGGAACAUCCAUUACUUGUUGCUUCAACCUCGAAGUCAACAUCCUAUUACUCAAAGCAGCUUUGUAAAUCGUGAGUUCCCCAUUUAGCUCCUCGAUUUCUUUUUUCAUGGCUAGCACCAUAUCCUCGAGAGUGUCAUCCCUCUCUGCCAGCUUUUCACAGUUGAAUUGACUAAUCCAUUCAUCUUUUCCACAUUGGCAUCGAGAGAAUCCAACACAAAUUCUCUGAGUUGCUCUUCCAUUGAGUCAAACCCAUUUGUGCGUCCCUCGACCAACUCAAGCGUCUUCUUCAUUUCCCCCACAGAUUCCUCGAGAUUACUCACUCGAUUUUCCAAAGCUGACAGAAUGUACCUCGAAUGACUUACUUUUCUGGCCUUCCCACAAGUCUCCAUUGGCUUAUUCUAAUCAAUAACUUCUUUCGACAUCUCAACAGUGCCUUCUCAACCAAUAACUCGAAUACCACUUGUCACGAGGCUAGAUCUUUCGCCUCGCGAUCCAUGUGGCCUUAGGCGAUCCGUUCGCUCCAAACUCACCUAAGUCAGCCUUUACUCCCAAAAGUGAGGAUUCAUUUAGAAUUCAUCUAAGGCACCAAUUUGCAUAGCAGAAGCAAUUGUGUCAAAAGAAGCUACAAAAGAACAACAAAAAGUCAUAGAAAGAACACACACAAAGUGUUUGAGUAAAUGCUCAAAUAAUUCUAUUACUCUUAAGAAUUCAACUUACAAUGGAUGAGAUACAAAUGAGGGGGAUGCUCUCUAUUUAUAGUUGAGCUCCCCCAAAACCGACGGUCAAGAUCAAAUUACAUCGACAGACGAGAUUAGUCUAUCCCUUGAUUUUAGGGAUUUACAAGAUUACAUCAUAUCAAAUCAAAUCUACAAUAUAUGAUUCCCAUAUUUACUAAAAAUAGCAUAUGUUAUCAUAUCUUCAUUAUCGGGCCAACCAGGCUUCUCUAACAAUUCUUAGAAUCGGGCCAAUUCUCGUGGACUAAAUGAUCCCCAUCUAAUCGAUAGACCUCCAUGGGGCGCAUCUUGUGCCAUGGUCAUGGGCUUUACACUUUGGCCCGUGUCACUUGUCCAUAUAUAUCCAUAACCCAUUUGUUGAAAGGGGGAGAAGCUAGGGGGCAACCAAGGGCCCCAAAAAUGAAAAUUAUCAUUUUAGUCAUUUGAAUGUUUCUAAAGUUUUAAGUUAAUUGAAUGGUAAAAUUAUAUUUCGAUCUCUUUAUAAAUUUUAAAUUAAAUUUUGUCAUCUUCAAAAAUAAAAAGUUUAUAGUUUAAUCCCUUGAAACUUGUAAAUUUUACAGUAAUACAAUUGUGAAUUUACAUUUUUAGCUUACUCAAAAAUUUAUAAUUCAAAUUCAUCCCCUCCAAAAAAAAUUAUGGCUUUGCCCCUAUUUGUUGCUUUAUUUUUUUAGUUAGGUUUUUCUCCCUUAACAUUCACCCUAAUGCUAGCAAGAAAAUUUGAGAAAUUGAAAAUUGACUCAAACCGAAGUUUUGAAUGAUUUAUAAAAUAUAAGUUAAAAAGUUAUAGUUACUCAAAUUGGAUUCGAACCAAAUAUUUAUUUUUAUUUUUAUGAUGUAAAAAUAAAUAUUUUAUAUCUAAAAUUAAAAAUAACUUAUAAUUUUAUAUAAUUUUUUAAAAAUAAUUAAUUAUUUUUCAUUUAAUUGAAAUAUUAUUUUUUAGAAUAAUUUAUUCAAAAACUUACAAAACCAAACCAAUACCACCCUACCCAAAUACUCAGAUGACCUUAACACACCAUUUCAUGUGAUCCUAGCUGUUCCAUUUACAGCCAUUGGUUGGCCCACAGUCCGACCAGAUGCUAUACACGUGGCGAAUUAUUAGCCUCUUAUCAGGUAUGGCUAAUAUUUUUCCAGUUUUGGCCUUAUUCAAUUUUUUUUUCUCACUUUUCGCCUAAUCAACCGACCCUAGAAUUUUCCAUAUUUUUUUAAUUGCACAUUUUGGGAAGUUUGUGGACUUCCAUCAUCAUUUCAAAGAAGGACAAUAAUAAUGAUUAUUGUUUUUUGUAACCACCCAUCUAAUUAAAAAUGCAUUUAAUUGAGAAAAUUAAAUAUAUUAUCAUGAUUUAAUUAUUAUUAAAUAGUCGAUUGAAUUUUAACUUGAUUAACAUGAGUAUUAUUGUUAGUAUAGGAGAACAUGGGUUUAAGUGCGCUGAACUGCAUUAUCUUAUUAUUUUAAAGUUGGAGAGGAAUUAAGAUAGUUCUAAGUAUUGUAUAAGAAAAACAGAUAUAAUGAGAAUUUAUAAUAAAAUUGUUAAAAUGUUUAAUAAAAAUAACAAUUUCCCCACUUUUAUUAUCAACUUUUAUUUUUAUUUUUUUAAGAACAUGAAAUAGCUUCCACUAUGUAUGUAUAUACACAUGCAAAUACAUAUGGAGUUUUAAUCUAACUCAUGCUUGAAACAAUUACAUCAUAAGAAAGUUGAUCAUGAUUCAAACUGUCAUUAUUAUUAUCCUUCCAAAUCUAAGGGAGAGGCAAGGAAUCAAAGUCCAAACAGGCAUCCAUGGUGGGGUCUCAGACAAUGAAACAAACCCUACUUUGUCAUAUGGGGCGGCAAGGCUAUGUAUUGACACUCAUUCAUUUGAACCCCCAUAUAUACCCCCACUCCACUUCUCAAUACUUCCCAUCACCACAAUAUUCUUCACCUAUCUCUUUCACAAAGGAGAGCACAGAAAAAAGGGGUUCUUGUUCUUGUUCAAGUUAUUGAUCAAUGGCUAAUGAUGUUGAGGUUGGUAGUGAGUUCCAAGCCAAGGACUACCAUGAUCCUCCACCAGCUCCAUUGGUAGAUGCCCAAGAGUUAACUCAGUGGUCUUUUUAUAGGGCUAUAAUAGCUGAGUUCAUUGCCACCCUUUUGUUUUUAUACAUCACUGUGUUAACAGUGAUCGGAUACAAGAGCCAAGUUGAUCCAGAUAAGGGUGGUCAAGAUUGUGAUGGUGUUGGCAUUCUUGGUAUUGCUUGGGCCUUUGGUGGCAUGAUUUUCAUCCUUGUUUACU